Molecule: long non-coding RNA, 476 nt
Organism: Thunnus maccoyii (southern bluefin tuna)
Lineage: Eukaryota; Metazoa; Chordata; Actinopteri; Scombriformes; Scombridae
Exons: 3
Source: RefSeq, a predicted model, not a curated record
CUGUGUGUGAAGAAGGAUGCGACUUUGACGCCACGUUUGUGUUUUCACUCAUAAAACUCAACAGCAGCGGUCCAGGAGUUUAACACUCUUCUGUGUCCAAAAGGCGUCUGUGGACUCCUGCAGUCACAAAGGAGGAAAACCGACUUCAAGUUGCACUUUCGCCACUUCCAUCCUCUCCAUGAUCAACAUAUGUCAAAGGAAAUGAAACAUGAAAGCUGACAGUUCCUGCACCGCGGCUCGGCUGCAGGCGCUGACACUCGUCAAUAUUUACAUAAAACUCACCGGGGGAAACAGCUAGCAUGGAGGAGUGGGCGUCAUUGUCACCCUGAUAUAUUCACACACAAUGAUGACUGUGUGUGUGUGUGCGUGUUGGAUUCACACAGGUUAAGGUUAGAAAUUCUGUUUGCUGUAAUUCAGAAACUUGCAGAACGUGCUGUUGUUGAGAGAGAAUAAUGACAGCGCUCACAAACACAACC